Molecule: ribosomal RNA, 462 nt
Filed under: uncultured ammonia-oxidizing beta proteobacterium
Lineage: Bacteria; Pseudomonadati; Pseudomonadota; Betaproteobacteria
Description: bacterial SSU rRNA
Rfam family: Bacterial small subunit ribosomal RNA
Source: RNAcentral
AAGCAGGGGAUCGCAAGACCUUGCGCUUUUGGAGCGGCCGAUGCCUGAUUAGCUAGUUGGUAGGGUAAUGGCUUACCAAGGCGACGAUCAGUAGUUGGUCUGAGAGGACGACCAGCCACACUGGGACUGAGACACGGCCCAGACUCCUACGGGAGGCAGCAGUGGGGAAUUUUGGACAAUGGGCGAAAGCCUGAUCCAGCAAUGCCGCGUGAGUGAAGAAGGCCUUCGGGUUGUAAAGCUCUUUCAGUCGAGAAGAAAAGGUCGCGACUAAUAAUCGCGACUCAUGACGGUAUCGACAGAAGAAGCACCGGCUAACUACGUGCCAGCAGCCGCGGUAAUACGUAGGGUGCGAGCGUUAAUCGGAAUUACUGGGCGUAAAGGGUGCGCAGGCGGCUUUGUAAGUCAGAUGUGAAAUCCCCGGGCUUAACCUGGGAAUUGCGUUUGAAACUACAAAGCUAGAGU